Molecule: ribosomal RNA, 478 nt
Filed under: uncultured bacterium
Lineage: Bacteria
Description: partial 16S ribosomal RNA
Rfam family: Bacterial small subunit ribosomal RNA
Source: RNAcentral
GACGAACGCUGGUGGCGUGCUUAACACAUGCAAGUCGAACGGAAUUUAGUAGACAGAAUCCUAGGUGGAAGAUUACUUAUGAUAGAGGGGAACGGGUGAGUAACGCGUGUGCGUCAUGCCUCUGACAGAGGGAUAGCCCAGGCAAAACAGAAUGAAUACCGCAUAAAAUCUUACAAAACCAUGUGUUAACGAUCAAAAAUUUAUCAGUCAUUGAUGAGCUCGCGUCGUAUUAUUUAGUUGGUGGGAUAAAAGCCCACCAACCCGACGAUCAUUAGCCGGUAGGAGAGGAUGAACGGCCACAUUGGAACUGAGACACGGUCAAAAAUCUAACGGGAGGAAGCAGUGGGGAAUAUUCGACAAUGGGGGAAACCUUGAUGCAGCGCCGCGGGGUGAAAGAAAAAGGUAUUCGAAUAGUAAAGUCUUGUAUUAUGGGAAGAUAAUGACAGUACUAAAGAAAAAAGCUCCGGCUAAAUACGUG